GACGAACGCUGGCGGCGUGGAUUAGGCAUGCAAGUCGAACGGUAUCAUCCUUUCGGGGGUGAGAGAGUGGCGAACUGGUGAGUAACACGUAGGUUAUCUACCCUCAAGACGGGGACAACCCAGGGAAACUUGGGCUAAUACCGGAUGUGAGCAACUUUUAGUUGUUUGAAAGGUGGCGUAAGCUGUCGCUUGGGGAUGAGCCUGCGUCCUAUUAGUUAGUUGGUGAGGUAACGGCUCACCUAGGCAAUGAUAGGUAGGCGGCCUUAACGGGUGGUCGCCCACACUGGGAUUGAGAUACGGCCCAGACUCCUACGGGAGGCAGCAGUCGAGAAUAGUCUACAAUGGUCGGAAGACUGAUAGUGCGACGCCGCGUGAACGAUGAAUCCCUUCGGGGUGUAAAGUUCUUUUAUAUGUGAGCAGUGCUUCUUAUAUUAACAGUAUGGGAGAGAGAUAUUAGCAUAUGAAUAAGCAACGGCUAAACUCCGUGCCAGCAAGCCGCGGU
This 502-nucleotide ribosomal RNA is filed under the name uncultured bacterium. RNAcentral's name for it is "bacterial SSU rRNA". It matches the Rfam family "Bacterial small subunit ribosomal RNA", at positions 28 to 521 of the family's 1533-position model. The record is from RNAcentral.